Molecule: long non-coding RNA, 566 nt
Organism: Homo sapiens (human)
Lineage: Eukaryota; Metazoa; Chordata; Mammalia; Primates; Hominidae
Gene: RC3H1-DT
Product: RC3H1 divergent transcript
Exons: 2
Source: RefSeq, marked validated
GAGUCACCGGCCACCAACGCCCGGAGGGAGACCGGCGACGCUCUCCGCCGCGACCGAAAGUCUCACACGCCCUGAGCAGAUGAACCGGUCCCUCGGUCCGGUCUGCCCUCCCGCACCGGCGCCUUUGGGCUCAGCGGGCCAGUGGCCAGAUGGCGAGAGUUCUGGAUCUCAUCAGCUUUGUCCUCGUCACCCCUCUGGGAGUUCAGCCUCCUAAGGCUGUGAAACAGCCCAAAAGGCCCGGACACGCUACUCCAAAACGUCUCUCCUGGGCUGUGUGAACAAUAAGAGCUAUUUGGGGACGACAGGAAAAGAUAUGGCCCAUAGAAGGGCUCCUGAAAUCUAACCUUGCGACUCUUUAAAAGUUUCUUGUCCCUUGUGGAAAAGGUGCCGUUUUGGUUUUGGGGAAUGGGAGGUCCCUUCAGACAAUUCAUUUUAGCCAAACCCUCGCUUUUGAGAAGGGGAAGAAAUGGGAUUAUUGUAACACCAUACAGUACUAAUUUCAAAAUAAAUCAUCUAGAAUAGAGGAGAGAGAGAGUCCCCAAAUAAACAACCAUUUAAUACCUCUA